This is a non-coding RNA of Mesocricetus auratus (golden hamster), 295 nucleotides long. The record is from Rfam. NCBI's taxonomy places the organism in Eukaryota, Metazoa, Chordata, Mammalia, Rodentia, Cricetidae.
GGAUGUGAGGGCGAUCUGGCUGCUACAUCCUUCACCCCAUCGAUCGCCAGGGUUGAUUCGCCUGAUCUGACUGACUAGGCGGGUGUCUCCUUCCCAAAGCUGCGCUCUUGUCGAAGAGGACGACCUUCCCUCGAAUAGAGGAGGACCGGUCUUCGGUCAAGGGUACAGGAGUAUCUGCGCUCCCCUGCUAGAACCUCCAAACAAACUCUCAGGAACUCUGCCUUCCGAUUCCUUUCUGGGCACAUUGAGGGUAAAGUGAGCAGCAUUUCGUACGGGACACGAAAUGAUGCUUUCU